This 214-nucleotide unclassified non-coding RNA is filed under the name Hevea brasiliensis (rubber tree). The record is from RNAcentral. Lineage: Eukaryota; Viridiplantae; Streptophyta; Magnoliopsida; Malpighiales; Euphorbiaceae.
AGCUUCUCCGGAGCUUGUUAGCAAGUUGAUACCAGAGCACGUGAAACGACAUAUGGGUCUAAAUUUCUUCCCUUCAAUCACAUGAGUUAAAGAGUGAUGGAAAAUUGGUUUCUACAAAUCUAUGAAUGAGACAUGGGGAUUUAAAUCACCCUGUGGUGGGCCUGUCUGAUCAGCAACCAUAUCUUGCUCUAUGAUGACAUUAAAGAUUUAGGAG